This 433-nucleotide ribosomal RNA is filed under the name uncultured bacterium. RNAcentral describes it as "partial 16S ribosomal RNA". It matches the Rfam family "Bacterial small subunit ribosomal RNA", at positions 29 to 507 of the family's 1533-position model. The record is from RNAcentral.
AACGAACGCUGGCGGCAUGCCUAACACAUGCAAGUCGAACGAGACCUCCGGGUCUAGUGGCGCACGGGUGCGUAACGCGUGGGAACCUGCCCUUAGGUUCGGAAUAACUCCCCGAAAGGGGUGCUAAUACCGGAUAAUGUCUUCGGACCAAAGAUUUAUCGCCUUUGGAUGGGCCCUCGUUGGAUUAGCUAGUUGGUAGGGUAAAAGCCUACCAAGGCGACGAUCCAUAGCUGGUCUGAGAGGAUGCUCAGCCACACUGGGACUGAGACACGGCCCAGACUCCUACGGAAGGCAGCAGUGGGGAAUAUUGGACAACGGGGGAAAGCCUGAUCCAGCAAUGCCGGGUGAGUGAUGAAGGCCGUAGGGUUGUAAAGCUCUUUUACCCGGGAUGAUAAUGACGGUACCGGGAGAAUAAGCACCGGCUAACUCCGUG